CGGUAAGGCCCUUCGGGGUACACGAGCGGCGAACGGGUGAGUAACACGUGAGCAACCUGCCCCUGACUCUGGGAUAAGCGGUGGAAACGCCGUCUAAUACCGGAUACGACCUUUCGGCUCAUGCCGUUGGGUGGAAAGUUUUUUCGGUCAGGGAUGGGCUCGCGGCCUAUCAGCUUGUUGGUGGGGUAACGGCCUACCAAGGCGAUUACGGGUAGCCGGCCUGAGAGGGCGACCGGCCACACUGGGACUGAGACACGGCCCAGACUCCUGCGGGAGGCAGCAGUGGGGAAUAUUGCGCAAUGGGCGAAAGCCUGACGCAGCGACGCCGCGUGGGGGAUGACGGCCUUCGGGUUGUAAACCUCUUUUACCACCAACGCAGGCUCCGGGUUUUCUCGGGGUUGACGGUAGGUGGGGAAUAAGGACCGGCUAACUACGUGCCAGCAGCCGCGGUAAUACGUAGGGUCCGAGCGUUGUCCGGAAUUAUUGGGCGUAAAGAGCUCGUAGGCGGCGUGUCGCGUCUGCUGUGAAAGACCGGGGCUUAACUCCGGUUCUGCAGUGGAUACGGGCAUGCUAGAGGUAGGUAGGGGAGACUGGAAUUCCUGGUGUAGCGGUGAAAUGCGCAGAUAUCAGGAGGAACACCGGUGGCGAAGGCGGGUCUCUGGGCCUUACCUGACGCUGAGGAGCGAAAGCAUGGGGAGCGAACAGGAUUAGAUACCCUGG
This 720-nucleotide ribosomal RNA is filed under the name Nocardiopsis sp. 6-4. RNAcentral describes it as "bacterial SSU rRNA". It matches the Rfam family "Bacterial small subunit ribosomal RNA", at positions 67 to 790 of the family's 1533-position model. The record is from RNAcentral. Lineage: Bacteria; Bacillati; Actinomycetota; Actinomycetes; Streptosporangiales; Nocardiopsidaceae.